GGGAAAUGUGUCCAUUUCCUAAGAUAUAUUUUCAAUAGUUCACAAUAUUUCCUUGUGACUAAAUUGCACAAAAAAUAGUUCAUCUUAAGCUUGAGCACAACAGUAUUAUAACAUGACAAAAUUUCAUUGAAUGAUAACGGCAAGCUAAAUAGUAUGAAAAAAAAAAAUAAUAAAAUAUAGCUAAUACAUACAUACACAAUCAGUUUUCAAGAGAUGGCUGAGCACGUCAUAUUCAAAAUUUGGGGACAUAAACGUCAAUGAAGUUUGCACCCCAGGAAAAAUUAUACAUGUACAGCAACCUUAACAACCUUCAAAACUUCCAACGCAAGAACUAAAAUGUUCAACAUUGGCCAUAUAAAAAAAAAAUAUACUAACGCUAAACCAUUUAACAGUACAGGCUUUAAGCAUAAGCUUGUGUGAUUUAAGUCCAAAAUCCAUAGUUAAAAUUGGAACCAAAUGCUAAAAUGUUAAUAUUGGCCAUAUAUAUAUAUAAAAUAGUAAAUAUUAAAUCGUUUAACAGUAUAGGCUUUAAGAUUAAGCUUGUGUGAGUAAAUCCAGCAUCCAUAGUUGAAACUUCGAAAUCCAUAAGCUCUGCCCAGAAUGCUUUUGACAUGUUUUACGCGAAUCAACAUGACCGUAUAGCCCCUAACUCUACCAGAAUCUAGAUUUUGGUUUUGUUAGCACCUCAAGAAGCCUGAACAUCCAUCUAUCCAGCAUUCCUGAUAAAGCAAAUGUACCACCUAAAACUGCACAAAGCCGAGUGAUAAAAUGAAGAAAACUACGUCGUUCCUCUUUGAUUGCCACAGUGAUGGGUGACAAAUCAUACAAGAAGUAAACAGCUGGCCAUUUCUUAUCAAAUUCGCUGAUGGGGGAAAAAUACUCAGUAACAGAGAAUUGAUUGGUUGGCAAAACUUCCUUAGAGAUGUAUCUAUAUUCAGUUGGAACAAUCUUAAUGUAAUAUUUGAAUACUCCACUUGUGUCAUGCAGAAUUCUUGUUGUACCAUCUAGAGGGUUGUGAAGUCCAGGGUAUUUUGGUCCAAAUGAUAAAUCAUGAAUAAUGUGACUCACGUUGACAUGCGUCGCUCCUUCAAAAAUCAUUUGAGCAGCAAGAAUGUUUAGCCCAUGAACUGAAACGUGAAAGUUUCCAGCAACCCUUUGUACAUCUAGAACGCCAUAAACCCUGCAUCCCUCUCCAUUUGCUAAUGCCUGUUUAACCUUCUUGAUCAUACUUUCAGCAGCUUGAUCAAAGCCAUGAGCAUGAAGAUUCGUAUCAGAAUCCUCAUGGUGAUCUUUAUCAUCAUCAUGUUUGUGAGCAGCAUGUUCCUUUUCUACAAGGUCCGACAAAUAUUCAGUGCCAAUGAUAUGACCAUAACUAUUCAAGCGAAGUUUCCAAAUGUUUGUAUCAAGAUCAACUUCAUGCUUGCCUGACAAGUCAAUUGCAUCCACACUCAAGACAUCACAAGGUAAGGAAGGAAAUGUCAUAUUUAUGUGAAUUGGAAGCGUUUCUCCACGUUUCAAGUCCACCGACAUCUGAUGAACCGUGUAAGUAGUGAGAUAAUAUGUCAGCUCAUGCAGGAAUAAUGUAGCCAUUAUGACAAGACUGAUAAUGGAAACAAGAGCUCCAGAUUGUGUUUUCUGCAACAAGUGCUCUUCUGCACGUGGAAAUGCAUCCAGUCUCUUUAUUGUUUGUUUAACUCCCAUAUUUCUGUCUUUUUUUCCCCACAAAAAAAAAAGGAUAAAAUAAUAUAUCACCUGCACUUGAAUCAAUUGCAACAACAAUUAAGCUCUUGUAUGAACAAAUUACAGGAUUUGUAAGACAAUUAAUCCAUCAAUUUCGAUCAAGAGAAUUGUGGAAACAUAAAUAUGAAUGCAAAGAAUCAUACCACAAAACAAUAUAAGAAAAACAAAAGAAACCUUUGCCGCAGAAAAUAGACCUCAUAGUUUAUUCUCGAAAGUUAAACAAGCAAAAGAAAAACAAUAAAGCAACAAGUCCAGACCAAAACAGCAAAGCAUCAUUAGAACAGCAGCCAAAGCAACAGGGAACCUACAGCAUUUUUACAAUUUACUGGUUCGAGUAGCUAAAAUCAUAGAAAAAUAGAAUUGAAAUUCCUAGCAAGCAGAAUUCUAGAGGAAAACAUAUUAAAACACAUUUAUCACACUUCAAAAACACCUAUUUGAUUACUCAGGUUAGUUUCCAUAUAUCAUGCCUAGUGUUUCAAAUAAACAAUUCCAAAAGCCUAAAACAAAAAUCAAUAAUAUUAUAUGAAACUGAAUAAAUCAUGAGGUAAUUCAUAUUAACAACAUAGAAUUUUUAAAUUUAAUUACACCAUAACACAUAUUUGUUCAUCAAAUAAAUGAUAAAAAAAUUGAUAUACCAACUCAAAUUCAUGAAUCAUUAUAAAAUUAAGGGGAAAAAAUGAUAUUCCAUCUUAAAUUCAUACAAAUAAGUCUCAAUGACUCGCAACGAAUCAGGCAAACAGGCACCAAAAGUAUCAAAUUUGUCUUAUAAGUCCAUUCUGUUAAGAAAAGAAGAAAUUUCACAAUUCAGAACAAUACAAGACAAAUUCAGAACCUAAGAAAUAUCAACCAACGGACGAAGAAAUAUCAGAAAAAGCAGAAUUGAUAAGAAAAUUAUGUUUAAAUAAAAUACGGUGCCUGGGUUGAGUCAACGACGGUGACCCCCUCUCGACGGUCGGCUGACCUCGACAGAGGCAGAAG
RNAcentral lists this unclassified non-coding RNA (2718 nucleotides) under Hevea brasiliensis (rubber tree). Lineage: Eukaryota; Viridiplantae; Streptophyta; Magnoliopsida; Malpighiales; Euphorbiaceae. The record is from RNAcentral.